AUGGAGUACUAUAACAUGACGAGGCGACCAAUGCAACCAACUAUGAUGUUUGCUAUCAAGACCUACACCGCUCAGAACCGACAAUACCGACAAAACCAACAAUCGUUAAGACAGAUAGCAUCUUCUUCCCCUGGCUAUGGGGCGAUGAAUCUGACAUCCAAUAUCAUGCAAGAAGGAGAUUCUCUUGGGCAUGUGAACACAAUGCUUUCACUAGGGAUAACCCCUACACGACAUGAUCUUUCUGGAGCGUCCAUCAACAACCUGUUAACACACAAUCUGGAUACACGUGAAUCCAACCGAUUCUCUCCCAAGGUGGCGCAGGCACGCCCAGCGCCAAUGAAGGAUCUCCCAAGGGAACCAAAGUUCACCUGUCCAGUCUGCAUCAAUGAGCUGGUCGAUGCAUCGUCUACUAUCUGCGGCCACAUCUUCUGCAAGAAAUGCAUAGAGGCCUCCAUCCGAUUUCAGAAGAAGUGCCCUACCUGUCGUAGGAGGCUGACCUUGAGAAAUUUCCACCGCAUCAACCUCCCGGCGAUGGAUUGA
Molecule: ribosomal RNA, 540 nt
Filed under: Triticum aestivum (bread wheat)
Lineage: Eukaryota; Viridiplantae; Streptophyta; Magnoliopsida; Poales; Poaceae
Description: partial small subunit ribosomal RNA
Source: RNAcentral